GCCUAGUUAGCUUAGUUGGUAGUGCGUCUGCCUUGUAAGCGCUAGGCCGUGGGUUCGAUUCCCGCCUGGGGCG
This 73-nucleotide transfer RNA is filed under the name Diaphorina citri (Asian citrus psyllid). It matches the Rfam family "tRNA". Rfam says of the family: Transfer RNA (tRNA) molecules are approximately 80 nucleotides in length. Their secondary structure includes four short double-helical elements and three loops (D, anti-codon, and T loops). Lineage: Eukaryota; Metazoa; Arthropoda; Insecta; Hemiptera; Psyllidae. The record is from Rfam by way of RNAcentral.